UUAAGGUCAUACUGUGGUAAUACGGUUAAACCUUAAAGGAAAAAUAUAUAAGGUCAUACUGUGGUAAUACGGUUAAACCUUGGAAAAAAAUAUUUAUAUGAUUGCUCAUACAAAAUUUUGUAUCAUCAAGCUAAUUGUGAGUUGAAAAAGAUGAAUAAAGACGCUAACCGGCUUUCUUACCAUGUGUGUGACAUAGAUAAAGGGUCUUAAUGUGACUGUCUAGAAUGAAAAA
RNAcentral lists this long non-coding RNA (232 nucleotides) under Trifolium pratense (red clover). RNAcentral's name for it is "long non-coding RNA (TPRA_LNC005331)". The record is from RNAcentral. Lineage: Eukaryota; Viridiplantae; Streptophyta; Magnoliopsida; Fabales; Fabaceae.